RNAcentral lists this ribosomal RNA (760 nucleotides) under Candolleomyces badiophyllus. RNAcentral describes it as "partial 28S ribosomal RNA". It matches the Rfam family "Eukaryotic large subunit ribosomal RNA", at positions 131 to 881 of the family's 3401-position model. Lineage: Eukaryota; Fungi; Basidiomycota; Agaricomycetes; Agaricales; Psathyrellaceae. The record is from RNAcentral.
UGGCCAUCCGAGUUGUAAUCUAGAGAAGUGUUACCCGCGUCGGACCGUGUAUAAGUCUCCUGGAAUGGAGCGUCAUAGAGGGUGAGAAUCCCGUCUUUGACACGGACUACCGAGGCUUUGUGGUGCUCUCAAAGAGUCGAGUUGUUUGGGAAUGCAGCUCAAAAUGGGUGGUAAAUUCCAUCUAAAGCUAAAUAUUGGCGAGAGACCGAUAGCGAACAAGUACCGUGAGGGAAAGAUGAAAAGAACUUUGGAAAGAGAGUUAAACAGUACGUGAAAUUGCUGAAAGGGAAACGCUUGAAGUCAGUCGCGUUGGCCGGGAAUCAGCCUUGCUUUUGCUUGGUGUACUUUCUGGUUGACGGGCCAGCAUCAGUUUUGACCGGUGGAAAAAGUUCAGGGGAAUGUGGCANCUUCGGGUGUGUUAUAGCCCUUGUUCGUAUACAUCGGUUGGGACUGAGGAACUCAGCACGCCGCAAGGCCGGGUCUUUGACCACGUUCGUGCUUAGGAUGCUGGCAUAAUGGCUUUAAUCGACCCGUCUUGAAACACGGACCAAGGAGUCUAACAUGCCUGCGAGUGUUUGGGUGGAAAACCCGAGCGCGUAAUGAAAGUGAAAGUUGAGAUCCCUGUCAUGGGGAGCAUCGACGCCCGGACCUGACGUUUUCUGACGGCCCUGCGGUAGAGCAUGUAUGUUGGGACCCGAAAGAUGGUGAACUAUGCCUGAAUAGGGUGAAGCCAGAGGAAACUCUGGUGGAGGCUCGUAGC